Molecule: unclassified non-coding RNA, 234 nt
Filed under: uncultured Orbiliales
Lineage: Eukaryota; Fungi; Ascomycota; Orbiliomycetes; Orbiliales
Description: sequence contains ITS1
Source: RNAcentral
AAAAGUAAAGGGCCCCGGGGGGCCGUCUAAAAAAACCCGUAGCCAGAAGGCGUCCCCCCCCUUUCCCGGGGGAAGGGCGCCCGAACGGUGAACCCCUUGUGAAAACCCUUGUUGCUUCGGCAGCGCCUCCCAGCCUCACGGCGGGGAGGGUCAGCCUGCCGGCGGCACAAUUUAAAAAACCCUUCAUGAAAUGUAGUUUUUAAAACGUCUGAGAGCGCAGUCGAAUGACACUUA